This 382-nucleotide long non-coding RNA is filed under the name Cucumis sativus (cucumber). RNAcentral's name for it is "long non-coding RNA (CSAT_LNC002965)". The record is from RNAcentral. Lineage: Eukaryota; Viridiplantae; Streptophyta; Magnoliopsida; Cucurbitales; Cucurbitaceae.
GAACUAUUCAUCAUCUUCUUAAUUCUUCACAAACCCCAGCCGCCAUCGUGCUCCGUUGCAAGGAUCACCGCUCGUCGUUUGUUGACACCGUCAUUCCUCCUUUGUUCCUUAGUGACGAAGUCGCACAAGCCGACUAUGCACCCCCCACCUCCUACGUUUGCAUGUAGGUGAAGCCGAGGAAUCUCUCUCUUUUCAUUUCAUCAAUCAUCUAGUUUUUGAACGUUUUCAUUAAGCCUUACCGUCGUUAAGUUCUGUCUCGUGCCACCCAGAUCUCAUUGCCGGCAAUCGUUAAACGAACCCUUGCUUGAGCAAGUCGAUCUGUGCAUCACAGAGCCACUUAUCUACUCCUUCGUAAAUCGCGCUUGUCACAGCCGAUUUCUUU